This 27-nucleotide small RNA is filed under the name Bombyx mori (domestic silkworm). RNAcentral describes it as "ovarian small RNA-1364". Lineage: Eukaryota; Metazoa; Arthropoda; Insecta; Lepidoptera; Bombycidae. The record is from RNAcentral.
UACAUAACAGGCCGCAGUGAGUUGUGA